UACGGAGGGUGCAAGCGUUAUCCGGCUUUACUGGGUUUACAGGGUGCGUAGGCGGAUUUGUAAGUCCGAGGUGACCUCUCCGCGCUUAACUCGGAACCUGCCUUGGAUACUAUAAGUCUUGAAUGACGUUGAGGUUAGCGGAAUAUGUCAUGUAGCGGUGAAAUGCUUAGAUAUGACAUAGAACAUCGAUUGCGAAGGCAGCUAACUAAGCGUAUAUUGACGCUGAUGCACGAAAGCGUGGGGAUCAAACAGG
This 253-nucleotide ribosomal RNA is filed under the name uncultured bacterium. RNAcentral describes it as "partial 16S ribosomal RNA". It matches the Rfam family "Bacterial small subunit ribosomal RNA", at positions 524 to 776 of the family's 1533-position model. The record is from RNAcentral.